This 321-nucleotide ribosomal RNA is filed under the name uncultured eukaryote. RNAcentral describes it as "partial 18S ribosomal RNA". It matches the Rfam family "Eukaryotic small subunit ribosomal RNA", at positions 1470 to 1796 of the family's 1831-position model. The record is from RNAcentral.
CCCUUAGAUGUCCUGGACCGUACGCGCGCUACACUGACAUGUUCAACAAGCCUCCUAGUUCGACAGGAUUUGGGAAAUCUUUGAACGCAUGUCGUGAUAGGGAUAGAUCAUUGCAAUUAUUGAUCUUGAACGAGGAAUUCCUAGUAAACGCGAGUCAUCAGCUCGCAUUGAUUACGUCCCUGCCCUUUGUACACACCGCCCGUCGCACCUACCGAUUGAAUGUUUCGGUGAAGAUUCCGGAUAGGACUUUUUUGAUUUAUUUCAAUUUUGUCUUAAAAGCUAUCUAAACCUCAACAUUUAGAGGAAGGUGAAGUCGUAACA